CACGUAGGAGGCGAGCGUUGUCCGGAAUCAUUGGGCGUAAAGAGCGCGCAGGCGGCUUGGCAAGUCGGGUGUGAAAUCCCGGGGCUCAACCCCGUGACUGCAUCCGAUACUGUCAGGCUAGAGGUAGGUAGGGGAGAUCGGAAUUCCUGGUGUAGCGGUGAAAUGCGCAGAUAUCAGGAGGAACACCGGUUGCGAAGGCGGAUCUCUGGGCCUUACCUGACGCUCAGGCGCGAAAGCUAGGGGAGCGAACAGG
Molecule: ribosomal RNA, 253 nt
Filed under: uncultured bacterium
Lineage: Bacteria
Description: partial 16S ribosomal RNA
Rfam family: Bacterial small subunit ribosomal RNA
Source: RNAcentral